UACGGAGGGUGCAAGCGUUAUCCGGAUUCACUGGGUUUAAAGGGUGCGUAGGUGGGUUUGUAAGUCAGUGGUGAAAUCUCCGUGCUUAACAUGGAAACUGCCAUUGAUACUAUAGAUCUUGAAUUUUCUGGAGGAUAGCGGAAUAUGUCAUGUAGCGGUGAAAUGCUUAGAUAUGACAUAGAACACCAAUUGCGAAGGCAGCUA
RNAcentral lists this ribosomal RNA (204 nucleotides) under uncultured bacterium. RNAcentral describes it as "partial 16S ribosomal RNA". It matches the Rfam family "Bacterial small subunit ribosomal RNA", at positions 524 to 727 of the family's 1533-position model. The record is from RNAcentral.